Molecule: ribosomal RNA, 501 nt
Filed under: uncultured bacterium
Lineage: Bacteria
Description: partial 16S ribosomal RNA
Rfam family: Bacterial small subunit ribosomal RNA
Source: RNAcentral
AUUGAACGCUGGCGGCAUGCCUUACACAUGCAAGUCGAACGGCAGCACGGGUGCUUGCACCUGGUGGCGAGUGGCGAACGGGUGAGUAAUACAUCGGAACGUACCUUAUCGUGGGGGAUAACGCAGCGAAAGCUGUGCUAAUACCGCAUACGCCCUGAGGGGGAAAGCGGGGGAUCGCAAGACCUCGCGCGAUUAGAGCGGCCGAUGCCUGAUUAGCUUGUUGGUGGGGUAAAAGCCCACCAAGGCGACGAUCAGUAGCUGGUCUGAGCGGACGAUCAGCCACACUGGGACUGAGACACGGCCCAGACUCCUACGGGAGGCAGCAGUGGGGAAUUUUGGACAAUGGGGGCAACCCUGAUCCAGCAAUGCCGCGUGAGUGAAGAAGGCCUUCGGGUUGUAAAGCUCUUUUGUCAGGGAAGAAACACCGGCUCUAACACAGUCCGGGAAUGACGGUACCUGAAGAAUAAGCACCGGCUAACUACGUGCCAGCCGCCGCUGUAA